RNAcentral lists this long non-coding RNA (229 nucleotides) under Vigna radiata. RNAcentral's name for it is "long non-coding RNA (VRAD_LNC005431)". Lineage: Eukaryota; Viridiplantae; Streptophyta; Magnoliopsida; Fabales; Fabaceae. The record is from RNAcentral.
GAGCUUUAGAGUUUCAAAGAUACUUGUGUUUUUGCUUGUCUAUCCAUCUACUUUUGGCUAAUGGUUCCUCCUCUUCAUCAAAGGGUAUAUAGUUACCAUUCUCAACCAUAUCCCACAUAUCGAUGUGCAAGGGUUCAAAGAAUGCAAUCAUUCUUUGUUUCCAAUAAUCAAUCUUUUCCCCCUUGAAUAAAGGAGGGCGAUUUACAACAUAACCUUUGUUUUCCGACGC